This 497-nucleotide ribosomal RNA is filed under the name Anillus sp. 1 CA-2016. RNAcentral describes it as "partial large subunit ribosomal RNA". It matches the Rfam family "Bacterial large subunit ribosomal RNA", at positions 1931 to 2640 of the family's 2925-position model. Lineage: Eukaryota; Metazoa; Arthropoda; Insecta; Coleoptera; Carabidae. The record is from RNAcentral.
CCGCAGUAAUUUGACUGUGCAAAGGUAGCAUAAUCAAUAGUUUUUUAAUUAAAAGCUUGUAUGAAAGGUUGGACGAGAUAAAUUCUGUCUCUUUAUAAUUUAUUAGAAUUUAAUUUUUAAGUUAAAAAGCUUAAAUUUUUAUAAAAGACGAGAAGACCCUAUAGAGUUUUAUAUUUUUAUUAAUAAAAUUUAUUAAGAUUAUUUAUUUUUUUAUUAUAUAAAAUAUUUUAUUGGGGUAAUAGAAAGAUUAAGUUAAUUCUUUUUUUUAUUUAUAUUUAUUUAUAUUUUAUUGAUCCAAUUUUAUUGAUUAAAAGAUUAAAUUACCUUAGGGAUNACAGCGUAAUUUUUUUAGAGAGUUCAUAUUGAUAAAAAAGUUUGCGACCUCGAUGUUGGAUUAAAGAUUAGUUUAGGUGCAAAAGUUUAAAUUUUUGGUCUGUUCGACCAUUAAAUCUUUACAUGAUCUGAGUUCAGACCGGUGUGAGCCAGGUCGGUUUCUA